AAGUGCCUACUUAAGGGGAAGGGAAGUAUAGUAGAAGAAGAAGGUAAUAAAAGUGAUGCAAAGUAAGGUAAGCGCGGAGUUGAGUGCCGGAUAGCGGCGGACGGGUGAGUAACGCGUGGGCAACCUACCCUUAAGACCGGGAUAACACCUCGAAAGGGGUGCUAAUACUGGAUAAGCUCCUUGUAGGGCAUCCUAUGAGGAGGGAAGGUAGCGGAAGCUACCGCUUAAGGAUGGGCCCGCGUCCCAUCAGCUAGUUGGUAGGGUAACGGCCUACCAAGGCGACGACGGGUAGCCGGCCUGAGAGGGUGGUCGGCCACACUGGGACUGAGACACGGCCCAGACUCCUACGGGAGGCAGCAGUGGGGAAUCUUGCGCAAUGGGCGAAAGCCUGACGCAGCGACGCCCGCGUGAGCGAAGAAGGCCUUCGGGUCGUAAAGCUCGAUAGUGUGGGAAGAAUAGAUGACGGUACCACACGAAAGCCCCGGCUAACUACGUGCCAGCAGCCGCGGUAAGACGUAGGGGGCGAGCGUUGUCCGGAAUUACUGGGCGUAAAGGGCGCGUAGGCGGCCACUUAAGUCAGGUGUAAAAAACCCGGGCUCAACCCGGGGGAUGCACAUGAAACUGGGUGGCUAGAGGGCAGGAGAGGGGAGUGGAAUUCCCGGUGUAGCGGUGAAAUACGUAGAUAUCGGGAGGAAUACCAGUGGCGAAGGCGACUCUCUGGACUGACCCUGACGCUGAGGCGCGAAAGCGUGGGGAGCAAACAGGAUUAGAUACCCUGGUAGUCCACGCCGUAAACAAUGGGUACUAGGUGUGGGAUGCGGAAGCAUUCCGUGCCCGUAGUUAACGCAAAUAAGAUUUCCCCCCGCCUUGGGGGUACGGCCGCAAAGGUUGAAACUUCAAAAGGAAAAUGACGGGGGCCCCGCACAAGGCGGUGGGAGCAUGUGGUUUAAUUUCGAAGGCAAACCGGGGAAGAAAACUUACACAGGGCUUGACAUGCAGGUAGUAGCGAGCCGAAAGGGUGAGGGGACCCCGCGCACUCCAACGAAAAUGUGCUUACCGUAGAGAAGAAGUAGGUAGGGAGUGAAAUGCAGGGGAGGGAAGGAGUUUAAGAGGGUAGGGCGCUUGGUUUGAGUGCCCGGGGAGCCCUGCACCAGGUGGUGCAAUGGGUUGUCGUCAAGCUCGUGUCGUGAGAUGUUGGGUUUAAGUUCCCCGCAA
Molecule: ribosomal RNA, 1215 nt
Filed under: uncultured bacterium
Lineage: Bacteria
Description: bacterial SSU rRNA
Rfam family: Bacterial small subunit ribosomal RNA
Source: RNAcentral